RNAcentral lists this small nuclear RNA (160 nucleotides) under Oryza meridionalis. RNAcentral's name for it is "U1 spliceosomal RNA". It matches the Rfam family "U1 spliceosomal RNA". Rfam says of the family: U1 is a small nuclear RNA (snRNA) component of the spliceosome (involved in pre-mRNA splicing). Its 5' end forms complementary base pairs with the 5' splice junction, thus defining the 5' donor site of an intron. The record is from Rfam by way of RNAcentral. Lineage: Eukaryota; Viridiplantae; Streptophyta; Magnoliopsida; Poales; Poaceae.
AUACUUACCUGGACGGGGUCGACGGCCGAUCAAGAAGGGCCGUGGCCUAGAUCAAUGGCUUACAUUGCACUUGGUGAGCGCGUUGGUUUACCAUCUCCCCAAGUGGGAGAGUGGACGUCAUAAUUUGUGAUAGAGGGGGUACGCGUUCGCGCGGCCCCUG